CCUCUCUCUUGUCUCCCUCCCACCAGCCACGAAGGUUUUCAAAGGUUAUUAAGGCUGGGCGGUGAGCAGAAGACUAUUUAAACAUCGGAAAGAGCAUGCUGAUUCCUUUAGCAAUACUUUUGAACAGUCUUUUAAUGGCCUCCUUAGAAGUUCUAUGAAGACUUUAGUGGAACAGCUACCAUUCAGGAGUGAUAAAGAUAUCAACGCUAAGAAUACACUACGUAACGUUGCAAACCCACUAUGGUCUAGAAGAUCCUGUAUGUCACGCUAGGAGUUUAUUUUGGAGCAAAAAAUGGAAAUUAAAAUCAACUGGAGAAGCCAAGUAGGAAAUCAUUCAAAACCUCAUAUUGAAGAGACCUUAGGAGGAAAAUAGCAUGAGCAGUGAUUUCAUCAAAAUGAGGUGUAAAAAAUAAACAGAUGGGGGGACAUGGCAGGAAAAAAAAAUUAUAACAAAUCUGUUUUUCUUUCCAGAUACUUUCCCCAAAUAGCUAAACCUGUAAAAGUUACAUAAUGCACGAUUAGUAAUGCUUCGUUGUACCCCUUUUGGUUUUUCUUUCCCUUUUUCUCAUAUGUCUACCUGUGAUCAUGUAGGCGGAAUCAGAAGACACGUACUCCUCAAAACCAGGAAAAGGAGAGAAAGUUCAGACCCAGUAAGCCGUCCCGGUCAGUUAGGAUUUAGUUCACCUGCACGGAAGAGAGACCUGGUUUUUUCAGCUUACACAAAGAACACUGGCGUUGUCCUCACAGGACAAAGAAUCUGGGCGGGCGGUCCAAAGCAGGUGCUGGUGCCUGAGGAAGUCACUGAGGACCUGGGCUCCUUCCAGUCACCGUGGCUUCACCAGCAGGCAUUGUGUUUAUGCUCUAGCAAGUUAAACAAGGAGGAAGUGCAGAGUGAAAGGCAGAGGCCCUCGCCUCUGCCCCAGAGGGUCCCCUGGAAGCCCCGCCCUGUGAUUCUUGCUUUCAUUAGCAAUCAGCCAGCACUGAUUUCCACGGUCACCUCUAUCCAUAAGGGAAUCUGGGAGAGGGGAGGGGUACUUUGCCACCCCCAAUAAAAUUGAGUUCUUUUGAUAAUGAAGAAGUGGGGUAUGCUUCUAUUCCUGAUGUUUAAAGUAUUUACUUUACCCCAUUUGCCAUUAAAUGGAAGUUAAUCUAUUUCUCUUAUGACCUUUCAUCUUCUGAUGCCUCUGAUAGUAGGCAUUCAACAAAUAAAUGUGGGUUGAUUGACAGAUUGAUUGACUCAUUAUACUAGUAAUUGCCAGGCAUACUUCAUGUCAGUAUACUAGGAUAUUUACAAACAAAAUAUAUGUUCCUGCACUCAAGGGGCUUAUCGGUGCAAUUUCAGGCAUUCAUGUACAUAAAGUAAUUAGAGAACAAUCUCGCUGGUA
Molecule: long non-coding RNA, 1385 nt
Organism: Felis catus (domestic cat)
Lineage: Eukaryota; Metazoa; Chordata; Mammalia; Carnivora; Felidae
Exons: 2
Source: RefSeq, a predicted model, not a curated record